This 495-nucleotide ribosomal RNA is filed under the name uncultured bacterium. RNAcentral's name for it is "partial 16S ribosomal RNA". It matches the Rfam family "Bacterial small subunit ribosomal RNA", at positions 28 to 507 of the family's 1533-position model. The record is from RNAcentral.
GACGAACGCUGGCGGCGUGCCUAAUACAUGCAAGUAGAACGCUGAAGGCGGAGCUUGCUUCUCUGGAUGAGUUGCGAACGGGUGAGUAACGCGUAGGUAACCUGCCUGGUAGCGGGGGAUAACUAUUGGAAACGAUAGCUAAUACCGCAUAAGAGUAGAUGUUGCAUGACAUUUGCUUAAAAGGUGCAAUUGCAUCACUACCAGAUGGACCUGCGUUGUAUUAGCUAGUUGGUGGGGUAACGGCUUACCAAGGCGACGAUACAUAGCCGACCUGAGAGGGUGAUCGGCCACACUGGGACUGAGACACGGCCCAGACUCCUACGGGAGGCAGCAGUAGGGAAUCUUCGGCAAUGGACGGAAGUCUGACCGAGCAACGCCGCGUGAGUGAAGAAGGUUUUCGGAUCGUAAAGCUCUGUUGUAAGAGAAGAACGAGUGUGAGAGUGGAAAGUUCACACUGUGACGGUAUCUUACCAGAAAGGGACGGCUAACUACGUG